This 497-nucleotide ribosomal RNA is filed under the name uncultured bacterium. RNAcentral describes it as "partial 16S ribosomal RNA". It matches the Rfam family "Bacterial small subunit ribosomal RNA", at positions 28 to 507 of the family's 1533-position model. The record is from RNAcentral.
GAUGAACGCUGGCGGCGUGCCUAAUACAUGCAAGUCGAGCGAACAGACGAGGAGCUUGCUCCUCUGACGUUAGCGGCGGACGGGUGAGUAACACGUGGAUAACCUACCUAUAAGACUGGGAUAACUUCGGGAAACCGGAGCUAAUACCGGAUAAUAUAUUGAACCGCAUGGUUCAAUAGUGAAAGACGGUUUUGCUGUCACUUAUAGAUGGAUCCGCGCCGCAUUAGCUAGUUGGUAAGGUAACGGCUUACCAAGGCAACGAUGCGUAGCCGACCUGAGAGGGUGAUCGGCCACACUGGAACUGAGACACGGUCCAGACUCCUACGGGAGGCAGCAGUAGGGAAUCUGCCGCAAUGGGCGAAAGCCUGACGGAGCAACGCCGCGUGAGUGAUGAAGGUCUUCGGAGCGUAAAACUCUGUUAUGAGGGAAGAACAAAUGUGUAAGUAACUAUGCACGUCUUGACGGUACCUAAUCAGAAAGCCACGGCUAACUACGUG